RNAcentral lists this transfer RNA (74 nucleotides) under Candidatus Kaiserbacteria bacterium RIFCSPLOWO2_01_FULL_53_17. RNAcentral describes it as "tRNA-Pro". It matches the Rfam family "tRNA". From Rfam's summary of the family: Transfer RNA (tRNA) molecules are approximately 80 nucleotides in length. Their secondary structure includes four short double-helical elements and three loops (D, anti-codon, and T loops). The record is from RNAcentral. Lineage: Bacteria; Candidatus Kaiseribacteriota.
CGGGCCGUAGUAUACCGGCAGUACGCCUGCUUUGGGAGCAGGUAGACUGGGUUCGAUUCCCAGCGGCCCGACCA